Molecule: ribosomal RNA, 770 nt
Filed under: Micromonospora zamorensis
Lineage: Bacteria; Bacillati; Actinomycetota; Actinomycetes; Micromonosporales; Micromonosporaceae
Description: bacterial SSU rRNA
Rfam family: Bacterial small subunit ribosomal RNA
Source: RNAcentral
CUGCUCAGGACGAACGCUGGCGGCGUGCUUAACACAUGCAAGUCGAGCGGAAAGGCCCUUCGGGGUACUCGAGCGGCGAACGGGUGAGUAACACGUGAGCAACCUGCCCCAAGCUUUGGGAUAACCCUCGGAAACGGGGGCUAAUACCGAAUAGGACUGCUGGCCGCAUGGCUGGUGGUGGAAAGUUUUUUGGCUUGGGAUGGGCUCGCGGCCUAUCAGCUUGUUGGUGGGGUGAUGGCCUACCAAGGCGACGACGGGUAGCCGGCCUGAGAGGGCGACCGGCCACCCUGGGAAUGAGACACGGCCCAGACUCCUACGGGAGGCAGCAGUGGGGAAUAUUGCACAAUGGGCGGAAGCCUGAUGCAGCGACGCCGCGUGAGGGAAGACGGCCUUCGGGUUGUAAACCUUUUUCAGCAGGGACGAAGCGAGAGUGACGGUACCUGCAGAAGAAGCACCGGCCAACUACGUGCCAGCAGCCGCGGUAAGACGUAGGGUGCGAGCGUUGUCCGGAUUUAUUGGGCGUAAAGAGCUUGUAGGCGGCUUGUCGCGUCGACCGUGAAAACUUGGGGCUCAACUCCAAGCCUGCGGUCGAUACGGGCAGGCUAGAGUUCGGUAGGGGAGACUGGAAUUCCUGGUGUAGCGGUGAAAUGCGCAGAUAUCAGGAGGAACACCGGUGGCGAAGGCGGGUCUUUGGGCCGAUACUGACGCUGAGGAGCGAAAGCGUGGGGAGCGAACAGGAUUAGAUACCCUGGUAGUCCACGCUGUAAACG